CGUUGAGGACGAAGGACAUCAUUGAGAGCCGGCCUGGAGGGGUGGGCUCUUCGAAUGACAGUUUACUACCCAAUACCAACAGUAUGACAUUGGAAACGGGAGAGGAAUCAUUUGCCCGAGUCACACAGCAGAGUGGAAUUUAAAUAGAGACCAAAUCUAAACAGUUCCCACUCCAUCACUACUGAUGCCCAGUUAUCGAUUCCUCUUUCCACUGUGGCUCCUGACGAUCCGAGCUGAGAGAAGGUUAAGUCAUUUUUCUAGAGGGUCUCAAGAAAGAGACUUAUCUAUCAUGCUUGCCUGGGACACAAGUCUGUUGACUGUAUUAUCUGUCAUGUGUGUUCAACCUCAAGUCACAAGCUGCAGAGCUAGGAGAGCUACGAGGCUGAGU
Molecule: long non-coding RNA, 388 nt
Filed under: Rattus norvegicus (Norway rat)
Lineage: Eukaryota; Metazoa; Chordata; Mammalia; Rodentia; Muridae
Description: long non-coding RNA NONRATT019935
Source: RNAcentral